RNAcentral lists this ribosomal RNA (537 nucleotides) under uncultured Mycobacterium sp. Its description in RNAcentral is "bacterial SSU rRNA". It matches the Rfam family "Bacterial small subunit ribosomal RNA", at positions 54 to 606 of the family's 1533-position model. The record is from RNAcentral. Lineage: Bacteria; Bacillati; Actinomycetota; Actinomycetes; Mycobacteriales; Mycobacteriaceae.
CAUGCAAGUCGAACGGAAAGGCCUCUUCGGGGGUGCUCGAGUGGCGAACGGGUGAGUAACACGUGGGUGAUCUGCCCUGCACUUUGGGAUAAGCCUGGGAAACUGGGUCUAAUACCGGAUAGGACUACGAAUCGCAUGGUUUGUGGUGGAAAGCUUUUGCGGUGUGGGAUGGGCCCGCGGCCUAUCAGCUUGUUGGUGGGGUGAUGGCCUACCAAGGCGACGACGGGUAGCCGGCCUGAGAGGGUGCCCGGCCACACUGGGACUGAGAUACGGCCCAGACUCCUACGGGAGGCAGCAGUGGGGAAUAUUGCACAGUGGGCGCAAGCCUGAUGCAGCGACGCCGCGUGAGGGAUGACGGCCUUCGGGUUGUAAACCUCUUUCAGCAUCGACGAAGCGGAAGUGACGGUAGAUGCAGAAGAAGCACCGGCCAACUACGUGCCAGCAGCCGCGGUAAUACGUAGGGUGCGAGCGUUGUCCGGAAUUACUGGGCGUAAAGAGCUCGUAGGUGGUUUGUCGCGUUGUUCGUGAAAACUCACA